RNAcentral lists this ribosomal RNA (134 nucleotides) under Vallicoccus soli. RNAcentral's name for it is "Bacterial small subunit ribosomal RNA". It matches the Rfam family "Bacterial small subunit ribosomal RNA", at positions 1 to 135 of the family's 1533-position model. The record is from Rfam by way of RNAcentral. Lineage: Bacteria; Bacillati; Actinomycetota; Actinomycetes; Motilibacterales; Vallicoccaceae.
UCUACGGAGAGUUUGAUCCUGGCUCAGGACGAACGCUGGCGGCGUGCUUAACACAUGCAAGUCGAACGGAUUCCACUCUUCGGGGUGGGGUUAGUGGCGAACGGGUGAGUAACACGUGAGCAACCUGCCCCUGG